GAUGAACGCUGGCGGCGUGCCUAAUACAUGCAAGUCGAGCGAACGGACGAGAAGCUUGCUUCUCUGAUGUUAGCGGCGGACGGGUGAGUAACACGUGGAUAACCUACCUAUAAGACUGGGAUAACUUCGGGAAACCGGAGCUAAUACCGGAUGAUAUUUUGAACCGCAUGGUUCAAAAGUGAAAGACGGUCUUGCUGUCACUUAUAGAUGGAUCCGCGCUGCAUUAGCUAGUUGGUAAGGUAACGGCUUACCAAGGCAACGAUGCAUAGCCGACCUGAGAGGGUGAUCGGCCACACUGGAACUGAGACACGGUCCAGACUCCUACGGGAGGCAGCAGUAGGGAAUCUUCCGCAAUGGCCGAAAGCCUGACGGAGCAACGCCGCGUGAGUGAUGAAGGUCUUCGGAUCGUAAAACUCUGUUAUUAGGGAAGAACAUAUGUGUAAGUAACUGUGCACAUCUUGACGGUACCUAAUCAGAAAGCCACGGCUAACUACGUG
Molecule: ribosomal RNA, 497 nt
Filed under: uncultured bacterium
Lineage: Bacteria
Description: partial 16S ribosomal RNA
Rfam family: Bacterial small subunit ribosomal RNA
Source: RNAcentral